GCCAGCAUAGCUUAGUGGCAAAGCACGUCAUUGGUAAUGACGAGACCGUGGGUCCGAUUCCCACUGCUGGCUCAA
Molecule: transfer RNA, 75 nt
Filed under: Candidatus Andersenbacteria bacterium RIFCSPHIGHO2_01_FULL_46_36
Lineage: Bacteria; Candidatus Anderseniibacteriota
Also listed under: 2 other names
Description: tRNA-Thr
Rfam family: tRNA
About the family: Transfer RNA (tRNA) molecules are approximately 80 nucleotides in length.
Source: RNAcentral